Molecule: ribosomal RNA, 509 nt
Filed under: uncultured Alphaproteobacteria bacterium
Lineage: Bacteria; Pseudomonadati; Pseudomonadota; Alphaproteobacteria
Description: bacterial SSU rRNA
Rfam family: Bacterial small subunit ribosomal RNA
Source: RNAcentral
CUGGCGGCAUGCCUAACACAUGCAAGUCGCGCGGUCAGCAAUGGCAGCGGGCGGACGGGUGCGUAACGCGGUAGGAACGUGUCCUGAGGUGGGGGACAACCCUGGGAAACUGGGGCUAAUACCGCAUAUGGGCUGAGGCCCAAAGCCGAAAGGCGCCUUAGGAGCGGCCUGCGUCCGAUUAGCUAGUUGGUGGGGUAACGUGCCGUACCAAGGCUCCGAUCGGUAGCUUGGUCUGAGAGGACGAUCAGCCACACUGGGACUGAGACACGGCCCAGACUCCUACGGGAGGCAGCAGUGGGGAAUAUUGGACAAUGGGCGCAAGCCUGAUCCAGCAAUGCCGCGUGGGUGAAGAAGGUCUUCGGAUCGUAAAGCCCUUUCGACAGGGACGAUGAUGACGGUACCUGUAGAAGAAGCCCCGGCUAACUUCGUGCCAGCAGCCGCGGUAAUACGAAGGGGGCUAGCGUUGCUCGGAAUUACUGGGCGUAAAGGGCGCCGUAGGCGGCUUAGUC